UGAUAUCGUAUCGAUAUCAAAAAGUGCUCCUGUUGAGUGAUUCCCUCUGGUGUCGGAAAAUGUCUCCCCUCCAGAGUGUGUCUACAAGUUUACAAGUUAAUAAAUUUUAUUGAUAAAUUGUUUCCUUUUGUUUGUUUUGUCUAAAUCACAGUUAAAUUUUGUAAUGCUGGUAUUGAAGAGAAAAGAUUGAAAUGAGGAAAAAUUAGGAGGAAGAAGACUUCAUAGACCUCACAUAAAGAAACACUUUGAGUUGAACAUAAUCAUGCAAGAAAGAAAAGAAAAAGGCAAACUUUAAUCUUCUUCUUUCAUCUCUAACCUACAAUUGCCUAUAGCAACUUUGUUUUUCUCUUGUUCUCUUGUUCUCAAUAUUGUUCUUUUACUGUUUCAAAUGUCAACAAUAUCAUUAUCAAUCUAUUAACAUCAACUUUAACCUCAUAUUCAAAAGGCUAAGACAAAUUCAAUUCUCUCUAUCAUCAUCAUGGUAAUCAUCGCCACAAUAAACAUGAUCAAGUUAACGUGUUGUCACGCACAAAAAUCGACUCUCAACAACCAUUGUAACAAGCACCGUACCCAAUCAAUAAAAUACAAAGACUUGUUCAUAAUCAGUGUAAUAUGGCAAUAUGGAUACAUCUAUUCACACAAUAGCAAGAUGAGUAUUUAAUUAAAUUACUUGAUGACAUGAUGAAUACUGUGCAACACUAUUGCACAUUACUUUACUACUUUAAUACAUCCACACCUUUAGUUAUAUAAAUAGUUAACAUUAUUAACAAAAUAAUUUAGCUCAGUUUUUAUACAUUUCAAAUGAUAAGUUGUAAUUAUUAGUGCGCUCAUCAUUCCUACUGAUUGAUGUUGAUUGUGGAUCACUAAUAUCAAAUAAAUUUGGGUGCUCCUUUAGCUGUCAUCAAUAAUGAUCAUCAAAAAAAUAUGUUAGCCUCAACCAAACCCAUUUGAUUGACCCUCGGUCAAAAGGUUAAUACGGAAGGUACAAUUAACAAUUUAUAAAAACACUAAUGUCUACUUCUUUUGUAAUGAGUUUAAGGUUAAUUACUGGUCGAGUUUACUCAAUUUUACGAAAUGCUGAUAUUAAAGUAUGAGUACUUCAAUCUUCUGCACCAACAUUUUUACCAUAACAUUGUAUCGCUAUUUUUUGCCAUAAAUUCAGAUACUGAAUGACACUCGAUGAAAUAUUUAGCAGUUGAAUGGUGUCUGUCAAGCUGGAAAGUCUAGUCAAACUUUUCGCUUUAUUUUUGGAAAAUUUGUUCAAUCCUUUGCAUAAUUUACAUUGCUUA
This is a non-coding RNA of Tetranychus urticae (two-spotted spider mite), 1289 nucleotides long. Lineage: Eukaryota; Metazoa; Arthropoda; Arachnida; Trombidiformes; Tetranychidae. The record is from RefSeq and is a predicted model, not a curated record.